UCCCAGACUCCUACGGGAGGCAGCAGUGAGGAAUAUUGGUCAAUGGGCGCGAGCCUGAACCAGCCAAGUCGCGUGAGAGAGGACGGCCCUACGGGUUGUAAACCUCUUUUGCCGGGGAGCAACGGGCGUCACGUGUGGCGCCACUGAGAGUACCCGGAGAAAAAGCAUCGGCUAACUACGUGCCAGCAGCCGCGGUCAUACGUAGGAUCCGAGCAUUAUCCGGAGUGACUGGGUGUAGAGAGUUGCGUAGGUGGCAUAAUAAGUAGCUAGUGAAAUCUGGUGGCUCAACCAUUCAGACUAUUAGCUAAACUGUUAAGCUCGAGACCGUUAGGGGUAACUGGAAUUUCUAGUGUAGGAGUGAAAUCCGUAGAUAUUAGAAAGAACACCAAUAGCGUAGGCAGGUUACUGGGACGGUUCUGACACUAAGGCACGAAAGCGUAGGGAGCAAACGGGAUUAGAUACCCCAGUACA
RNAcentral lists this ribosomal RNA (471 nucleotides) under uncultured bacterium. RNAcentral describes it as "bacterial SSU rRNA". It matches the Rfam family "Bacterial small subunit ribosomal RNA", at positions 329 to 794 of the family's 1533-position model. The record is from RNAcentral.